AGUAAUGCGUGACCAACCUCGCCCCAUGCUCCAGAAUAGCUCUUGGAAACGGGUGGUAAUGCUGGAUGCUCCAACUUGACGCAUGUCUUGUUGGAAAGUGUUUAGUGGCAUGGGAUGGGGUCGCGUCCUAUCAGCUUGUAGGCGGGGUAAUGGCCCACCUAGGCUUCGACGGGUAGCCGGCCUGAGAGGGCGGACGGCCACAUUGGGACUGAGAUACGGCCCAGACUCCUACGGGAGGCAGCAGCA
Molecule: ribosomal RNA, 246 nt
Filed under: uncultured Gardnerella sp.
Lineage: Bacteria; Bacillati; Actinomycetota; Actinomycetes; Bifidobacteriales; Bifidobacteriaceae
Description: partial 16S ribosomal RNA
Rfam family: Bacterial small subunit ribosomal RNA
Source: RNAcentral